CCUACGGGUGGCAGCAGUGGGGAAUUUUGCGCAAUGGGGGAAACCCUGACGCAGCAACGCCGCGUGCGGGACGACGGCCCUCGGGUUGUAAACCGCUUUUAGUGGGGACGAUGGUGACGGUACCCACCGAAGAAGCUCCGGCAAACUACGUGCCAGCAGCCGCGGUAAUACGUAGGGCGCGAGCGUUAUCCGGAUUCAUUGGGCGUAAAGCGCGCGUAGGCGGGUGCCUAUGCGGAGCCCCAAAUCCCGGGGUGCAACCUCGGGGCGGAUUGCGCACUGGGCGGCUUGAGUGCGGUAGAGGCAGGCGGAAUUCCCGGUGUAGCGGUGGAAUGCGCAGAUAUCGGGAAGAACACCGAUGGCGAAGGCAGCCUGCUGGGCCGUCACUGACGCUGAGGCGCGAAAGCUGGGGGAGCGAACAGGAUUAGAUACCCGUGUAGUC
Molecule: ribosomal RNA, 439 nt
Filed under: uncultured bacterium
Lineage: Bacteria
Description: partial 16S ribosomal RNA
Rfam family: Bacterial small subunit ribosomal RNA
Source: RNAcentral